UUAAACUGUUGAAAUACCCGGUGAUAAAAGUACAGUAAUACGCGUGGUUGCAUAGUAGCACACAGUAUUGAUGCUUACGUGAGAAGUCACUCAGUUAUACUCAAAUAUUACUACAAUAAUUGUUGCAUAGUAUCUCACGUUAUUUGAUUCAAUUAUUGUCACAAUAUCAUCUGCAUAAUAUUUUAUAUUAUUUGAUCAAUAAUUGAGACAACAAAGUUAUUCAUAU
RNAcentral lists this long non-coding RNA (226 nucleotides) under Panax ginseng (ginseng). RNAcentral describes it as "long non-coding RNA (PGIN_LNC015838)". The record is from RNAcentral. Lineage: Eukaryota; Viridiplantae; Streptophyta; Magnoliopsida; Apiales; Araliaceae.